AGCUCCUUGAGUAUUUUAGGAUGCAUUUCAUCAGGUCCUGGGACAAUGCUUCUGUACAGUCACUACUGAGACUGCCUGUAUGCUUGGACCCUGAUAAAUGAUACCAUGGAUGAGCAUUUUGGGACAGUGGGAUUGUCCAGUUUGGCCAAUGUACAUAGCAGAGAGGCAU
This is a long non-coding RNA of Gopherus evgoodei (Goodes thornscrub tortoise), 169 nucleotides long. RefSeq lists it as uncharacterized. The transcript has 3 exons. NCBI's taxonomy places the organism in Eukaryota, Metazoa, Chordata, Testudines, Testudinidae. The record is from RefSeq and is a predicted model, not a curated record.